RNAcentral lists this ribosomal RNA (628 nucleotides) under uncultured bacterium. RNAcentral describes it as "bacterial SSU rRNA". It matches the Rfam family "Bacterial small subunit ribosomal RNA", at positions 56 to 683 of the family's 1533-position model. The record is from RNAcentral.
UGCAGUCGACGGUAACAUUUCUAGCUUGCUAGAAGAUGACGAGUGGCGGACGGGUGAGUAAUACUUAGGAAUAUGCCUUUGUGUGGGGGAUAACUAUUGGAAACGAUAGCUAAUACCGCAUAACGUCUUCGGACCAAAGGGGGCUUCGGCUCCCGCGCAAAGAGUAGCCUAAGCGAGAUUAGCUUGUUGGUGAGGUAAAGGCUCACCAAGGCGACGAUCUCUAGCUGUUCUGAGAGGAAGAUCAGCCACACUGGAACUGAGACACGGUCCAGACUCCUACGGGAGGCAGCAGUGGGGAAUAUUGCACAAUGGGGGAAACCCUGAUGCAGCCAUGCCGCGUGUGUGAAGAAGGCCUUCGGGUUGUAAAGCACUUUCAGUUGUGAGGAAAGGUUAACGGUUAAUACCCGUUAGCUGUGACGUUAGCAACAGAAGAAGGACCGGCUAACUCCGUGCCAGCAGCCGCGGUAAUACGGAGGGUCCGAGCGUUAAUCGGAAUUACUGGGCGUAAAGCGCACGCAGGCGGUUUGUUAAGCUAGAUGUGAAAGCCCUGGGCUCAACCUGGGAAUUGCAUUUAGAACUGGCAGGCUAGAGUUUUGGAGAGGGGAGUGGAAUUCCAGGUGUAGCGGUG